This 1453-nucleotide long non-coding RNA is filed under the name Felis catus (domestic cat). Its description in RNAcentral is "lncRNA (ENSFCAG00000046338.2)". Lineage: Eukaryota; Metazoa; Chordata; Mammalia; Carnivora; Felidae. The record is from RNAcentral.
AUUCCCUUCCAAUUAUUUUAUGAUAUUUUACAUUAUUUGUGUUUUUGAGGUUAUUUACAUCGGUGUCUGUAUGGGGGAAAUAUAAUGGUGUGUUACUGCAAAGCUAUUCUAAUUCCAUAUUCAGUAACAUCAUGUCAGUGGUUUGAAUUCAGCCACGUUGGCAGUGUUUACACCUUGGAAAUCAUCACAUGCUAUAAAUCAGAUGACUUCCCACCUGUUCCCCACCAAGAGAGCCAGUAGUUAAAUAUGCACUAGCACAUCACUGGAAAGAACAUCCACUGAGUACCAAAGGAUGAGACUUUUCUGCUGAUGGAACUUCUAAGUCUGCAUCAGGCUGCUUUUGAUUCUGAAAUGACAGUGUUAUUUGGUAGAAAGUUUCCAACCUUUGAAAAAGUGGUAUUUUAAAUAUAAGGAAUAGAGGUUAUACCUGGUUCUGAUAAAGUGGGUUUGCGUGGGCUGCACAAUUUGAGCACCAGUUCCUAUGUGUCAUUGAGGAAUGAGAUCACAGUAGCAAGGAAAAAGCCAUCAGAGGAUGUCUCAGUCAUCUUUUGCUUUAUUCUGACAAGCAAGAAAGGUAGAUGAAAAAAAUUUUUUACCCUUUAAAAUAAGCUAGAUUUUCUAAAUAAAGACUUGGAUAAUUAGAGCUGAAAAUAGUUGUAAUUUUAAAAUGAGAGGAACAAUAGGACUCUGUUUUUGUCUUUCAGUUGCUGCAUUAAAAAAAAAUCCUCCCCAAUGAAAGAGAAGAUAAAGAAGAAAAGAGGAAAAGAGAAGAGGGACAAAGAGAAUCACUUCCAGCUUGGUAUGGCAUUUCUCUUGGAUCCUGUCACAGUACUGUCAACAAAACCAGUCAACACCCAGUGUGGUUCUACCAAUGGUGAUAGAUGCAUUAUUUUAUCAUAAAUUAGCAGAGAACAAAAGGCUCAAGUCUACAAGAAAGUAGGAGAAUUUUAAUUUUUUAUUCUUAAGUUUUCCUCCUAAUUCUAAUUAUUGUGAAUUGAAAGCAAAACAGAAAAUUCAGGUUCAUUCUUGAAUUGUAACAUUUCAGGUACUUUUGGAGGCUCUGAGUUGUUGGGAUAUACUAAAAAGUAGUAAGCUGUGGUGAGAAAUAGAUCUAGAUGGUUAAGAGUUUUUCUUUUUUUAAAGCAUAGCAGAAUAUAGGCUAAGUGACUCCCUGUGUUUGCUUUUGUAUAUCAAUUUCUCAACCUUCUCUUACAAUAUAAAUGAUUUGGGUUUUAAAGUAUCUUAGCAGUUAUUCAAGGGACUCUUAGAAAAUAUUUCUGCUGCAGUCCCUGGACAAAUUGAGACAGGGAUGGGGGAAUUUUUUGUGCUAAGGUAGGAUGUUUAGGUCUAGGGUAAUUUCUUAACUCCCAGAUAGGCAAUAACAUCUUCAGUCUUUGUAAUAUCCCCUCUUCCCAAGUGGACAAAUAAACCAUCAGUUGGAUGCUUCUCUGCA